RNAcentral lists this unclassified non-coding RNA (352 nucleotides) under Hevea brasiliensis (rubber tree). Lineage: Eukaryota; Viridiplantae; Streptophyta; Magnoliopsida; Malpighiales; Euphorbiaceae. The record is from RNAcentral.
GGCAGAGGUUAGAAAGAAAUCUGGAAAAUUUAGAUUCAAGAAAGUGUGGAAUUUCUUUGGAACAAUCACACUCACACCAAAGAAAUUUCACACGUUUUCUCUAAUCCUAAGUCGUGAGAAAAUCUCCUCGAGUUUGGUUUGCAUUUGGUGGUCAGUCGCUCGAGAUUCAAACCCUAGAUUGGCGCUCACCGUUCUCCCAAGUGCAUGAUUUUUUUCGUCAUUCUCUUAAAGUCUUCUACAAAGGAUUAUUGCUACUCUUCAAAAUUCCUUAAGAGUUUGUUGCGCCAAGUACCCCUUCAUGGAGCUUCCUUUUUAUUUGUAAAAUAUGUAAAGGAGGUGGGUUUCUAGAUUA